Equus caballus (horse) is the source of this 6241-nucleotide long non-coding RNA. RefSeq lists it as uncharacterized. The record is from RefSeq and is a predicted model, not a curated record. Lineage: Eukaryota; Metazoa; Chordata; Mammalia; Perissodactyla; Equidae.
UACGUAAAGGUGCCUCUUGCAGAAUUUAACAAAUCUAGCAAAAGAAAAUUCAACAAGGCCAUAGAGAAUGUGAAUAAUUCAAGACCGAUGUAACGUAUAUGUAGAUAUUGCGACCUGUGUAUCAGCCUAUACUCUUGCUACGUCCCAGGAACCUACAAAGAUCAAGCAUCUCUGUUGCCCAAACUAAAAUCCUUAGUAAAGUUACAAAAGAGGGAUUUUCUAAUUUAUAUCCCCUCAUCACGAUCCAGUAAAUAGUAGCAGAUAAUGAAAAGAUUUUCCAAAAGUCUUCACUCACUUGGAAAUUUUUAAACACUCAUGAACAACCCCCAGAUCAGAGAGGAAACUCCGAAAGUGAAUUUGCAAACCAAGCGCCAAAUAAUGCAAAGAGAGACAGCUCACAAAAAAGAGGUUACAGGAAACAGCUCAAGUUGCACAUUGCGUUGAUUAUUGAGCUAUUGUCACCAGACUCCCACCUUUCCUUUCUGUAAUCCGCUUUGUGAGGCUGGGGCUCCUCACUGUCUCUUACAUCAGUUGACCCCUCCUCAGAAAAUGGAUAAACACACUCUGUCUGGUGUAUUCAUACAGUGGGUUCCUAACUCCAAAAUAAAAUGGAAAGAACUAUGGAUUCAUGCAACAACACAGAUUAAUCUAAAAAUCGUUAUACUGACCAAAAAGAGAGGCACACAAAAACCUACCUAAUGCAUGAUUCCAUUUAUAUGAAAUUCUAGAGAGGGAAAAACUAAGCUAUACUGUCAGAAAAUAGAUCAAUUGAUGUUUGGAGGUUCCGAUGUUUUGGACGUGUGGAGGGACUGAGAGCAAAGGGGCAAAAGGGAAUUUUUCGGAUGAUGAAUACUAUUAGAUCUGUAUCUUAAUUACUUUGUUAUGUACUCAAGUGAAUCUAUUGGUCAAAACUUACCAAAUUCUACACUUAAAAUAGCUACAUUUUAUUUUACAUACAUUUUACCUCAAAGACUGGAUUGGAAAAAAAAUGAAGAGUAUAAAGAAUAUCAUCCUAAAGUCCUUGUUUUGCAAGCAGAUUUUGCUACACAGUUGAAAUUGACCAUUAUCAUGGCAGAGAAGGCUAACUCUUCUUUAUAACUGUUAUGAAAAUAUUUAAACACUAAAAAAAUCAUUUGGAAAAGAAUAACACUAAGUCGGGGUGUGGCAGAGAAUGAGAAGACAGCAGAGGGGAGGAACAAGGCAAGAACGAAGCAAUCUUGGGUGCAGAAAAGGCUUGGUGAAUAUGAGGGCGAAGUCACAGGCCCUAUUAGGAGUAAUCUCAACAUCCGCCUGAAGGGAAUUUCGUGGGCUGUGGACCCCAACUCCCGGGACCCAUGUGCCUGGACUGCGGGAAUCUGAUCUAGGCCAGAUCCCCUCUCCCUGGAGCAGGCGGGUCAGCACAGAGAGAGAGCAGCUCAUCCCUUAGAGAGGACCACUGAUGGGAGCUCAGCCCUUAGGGAGGACCACGGAUGGGGAGGCGGCCCUGGCUCCUCCCAGUUGGCAAGUCCUGAUUUGCUCACUGCUGUGAUCCAGCUGUGACUCUGGGUUCAGUCCAUCUCUCCCCUCACAAUCCUUCAGGGAUUCUUCUCGUAAAGGUGAGAUUUGGCUGUUCUGGCCUUCCACAUAAGUGGGGACAUGCAGCAUGCACUGUUUCUGGUGUAAGGCCUCUUCUAAUUAGUAAGAUGCUGUUUCGAUUCAUCUCUAUUGUUGCCCAUUAUCAGGGAUUCUUUCCUGGAUAGCUGAGUAGUAUGAAUACUUCACAAUUUGUUUUUCUAUUCUCUUACGGAUUGGCACCAGAGGUAUUUCCCGGGUAGGUGAAUGUUUAGUUUUAUGAGAAACUGUGACUGUCUUUCAUAGCAGCGGCACCAUUUUAUCUUCUCACUAGAAGCAAGAAGCCUUCCAGGUGCUCCCCAUCCCAGCGAGCAUUUGGAGCUGUCAGACUUGCGAUCUUCACCCUUUCUGGUGGUUGCAUAAUGGUCUCUCUCACUGUGGUUCAAUUUUAAUUUCCCUGAUGGCUAAUGGUGUUGAACAUUUUUUAAAGGGCUUAGUGAACAUUUGUGAAUCGCUUUUUGGAAAGGGAUUGUUUAAAUGUUUUGCCCAUUUUUUAUUGGGUGGUUGGUCAUAUUAUUAUUAUUGUUAUUAUUCUUAUUACUAUUUAUCCUAACGGGAAAAAGAGAUUCAGCAGGAACAGCAAAAGGAGAGUUAGAAUUUGGGCAUCUCGUUUCAUGAUCAAUAUCUCGUGCAGGGAUGGGUAUAGGGGCAGACAGGGUUGGGGGCCUGGCAGGCAGGUCAGCCAAGUCAGUGUCCAGUAAUAAGGCAGGAGCUGGGAUGUGCAAGGUGCAAGUGGCAGGGGUCUCUGCAGUGCUGCAGCAGGCAGGAAGGAAGAACAGGCAGGCUGAUUGGCACUGCAGUCUGAAGUGGCCUCAGUUUUAUCCUCCAACACCUCGUGGUUCCGUUGGAGCUCAGCUUUCUCCUCCAAGCCUAGGUCCUCACCAAUGACUACGCAAGGAACCCAGGAGAUGGAGGCAGCUUUUCUCCUCCCAAAACACUAGCAGUGGCGGCAGCAAGGGGCGCAGACAUUUUCGUUUACAGAGCCUACAACUGGCAGAUGGCUUCGGAAAGUUCCUUCUUGACGGAGUAUCUGAAGCUUUGUUCCCUGUGUCCCCUCUGACUUCAGUGAGGCUGGAGAGCUGGGUGGAUGGCCUUCGUCCAGCUUUUGCUUUGUCCACCUCUUUGGCAGCAGGGGUAGGUUGAGAAUGGGCCACACAGCCCCCUACAUUCAGGUCAGUCCUCCACAGAGAGGGGCGGCCUCCAGGAGGGCUUUAAGAGCUGGGGAUGACAUGGCCUUUGGUGAAUGUGUAACAGCUAGAUCUUAAGUCAGCAUGAGGGCAGCCAGCUUAGGGAAAGGAAGCAAUAUUGAAUUACAGCCCUGCCUCACUAGUCUCUGUGAAUAUGUUCUCGCCUGCAUGUAGCCUAGGUGAUUAAGCACCUCUCACUUUUGCAGAAUACAUGAUCUGAUAGUUCUAUGACUCUUGCUUAUGUCUAUUUCCCAGCCGUGGUAAGACAAUAACUGUUCUCUGAGUUCCUCAGGAACAUGACGACUUCCAGGAAGAAAAAUCCUGCAUUGGUACCCAUCACAAAUGACAGAAGAAAGAAAGAAUGUGGCGCCUUGAAGUUCGUCACACGGGAUGGUCAACACCCACAAACCCCCUCCUUCACUGUCGGUUUCCCCUAUAUAACUGCCUCAAGAUUCUGUAUGAUUUGAGCAUGCUUCUUCAGGACACCAGUCCACCAUCUUCCGAUUAUGCUUAGCUAAUCAGAUAAAUUCUUUCCUCAACCACUGGCUUAUUUGCAAUUGAUUGGCACCAGGCUGCAUCGAGCAGGAGCCCCUUUUUGCUCGGUUAUAAAUGGGCUCAGAAGAUGUUUUCACUUUCUUAUUCAAGGUGUCUCCUGGGAGCUGGGAAUGGAGGUUUCCCUUGGAGGCCCAGGACUGCGCCGGAAGGAAGUGAGGGCCGCACCACCCCUGCGGGGUCCAGGGCCCUACCUGCUGAAGGCCCCCUCUCACUGCUAUGGGGGCCAGCGAGGAGCACUUCUCUGACGGUCCAUCCUGUGCUAUUUUUCUCCUCUUCUCUGCUCUUCCUUUUGUAGGAUCUUCAGGUGUGUCCCCUUUAGGCAAAGAUCUAGUGGCGACGGGAUGGCCCAGGCCUCGGAGAGGAGGCUGCCUGCUCAAGCGCCAAACGGAAGAGAGUCAUUUUGCAUCCUGGAGGAGGAAUUGUGCCCGUUCCUGAGGAGAGGAGCAACUUGGAAGAGCAAGCAGACAGCAAUGGCUUCUGAGACCCGAAGGUCAGACACACACACACCGCACCAAGGCAAGGACUCACAGAGAGGAGCACUGGGCCUGCCAGACCAGACCUUAGCUUAGCCUCUUAGCCGCAGUGUAAAAUAGGGGCGAUAAGGACCCGCGACUGCAGUAAACAGCCCGAACCAGGCCGGGAGGGUUAUUUAGACCAGACAGGAACGGAGCGGGGCGGGCGGGUGCGAGGCUUGUUGAGGAACGUGCCCCCGAGGAGCAGUUUGCGCGCUGUGGGAUCCUUGGAGAGGACUGGGACCCUCGGGGAGGUCUCCUGGCUGCCAGCUCUCCGCGCUAGGCACACACCGUCCAGCCGGCUGUGGUGAGACACCGUUGGAACGGGUGACAGAGACAGGGCGCGCGAGCCUAGGGCAGGAGGAAGUAGCGACAAAGGGCAAAGGGAGAGGUCCAACGGCCCAACCCCAGGUGGCCUCGACCUCCCCGGGACUCCGCGCAGAUGUGAAGUAUUGCGGGGGCUCACCCUCAUAUGUGCCCCCCACAAUGUAGGGACUCUUUGGGUCUGCGGCUGCUCGACCCUGCAGCGCCUGGCCCGGGGACAGUAGCUUCUGCGAUCAGUGUCCAAGCAUCCUGCAGCUACUUCCCCGGGGUCACCGGAGGGAAGAACCUGCUCAGAGUCAGAGGAGCAGCCCAGCUCCAGUGGAACUUCCCAAGCCAGUGUAUCGGCCUCUGACCAGCCUCAUCUUAACCCAUCUCCUAUGGCAUGUACAAAAGGACCUUGAGGUGUGGGGCCUCUGCUUGCUAUAGGAAGAAAAAGAGGUUAAGUUUGUGUGACGUAACUGGAAUGGGCUGAGCCUCUUCCUAGCGGAGUGAAGUUCACUCGUGGGAGACACUGGCCAUCUGCCACCAUGUCUAGAGGAAACUUUUGCAUCUGGGCCGUUGAGUUCCUGCCUCUUUCACUAGAAGAAAAUGAAUGAACUGGCGAUUUACCACUUGCAUCUGGGCAGGUGAGGAGAGUGCCUUAAAAAAGAGGCUGCUGUUGGCCAGGUCCACCACAGAGGCAGUUACUCUAACCAGAGGCAGGAGCAAAGUGUGCCUGAAUCGCAGGUAUUUUCUCAGUGGAUUUGGCUCCUACAAAGCCAGCAGGCGGUAUCCUGGCUGGCUAGGCCCCAGGUGUCUGACUGAAGGCUAGAACAGAAGUAUCUUCCUAAAAACGUACAGUGUCCCUUCUGGCUCUGGCCACAAACACCCCAGGUGCUCCGAAUGAUGGUGGGAACAGAAAUAGCCCCAAACACAGGAAUGGUGCCGUCUCCUCCCACUGCACCUGGCAGUGCACCAGUGCCCUGGACUGGAAGGUCCCUCGUGCUCUGACUGGAUUCACAGGGGACUUAGCACCAUGGGCACCUACAACGAGCACACGCACUGCCUACUAGCAGGUCUGGAUUGGUUCAACUCCUAAGGCACCCACAGGCCACGCUGGGCUCCGGUAUCCUCGGAAUCUUCUGGGAGCUCUGGAAAGGAGGACACAGCACCAAUUGUCAGCAUCACCCCUUCAGGCAUUUCUUCACUAAGGGAGCCAUGCAGCAAACCACACAGCUGUCUGUGAGCUUUCUUCCCCCAGGUGCAGGAUCCACCCUGGCUGAAAAGUCUUAUGUCCCAAGGACACCAGCGUAUGUUGUAAUAAUUCCAUGGAUCCACUUUAAGGACCCUGAUCGAAAUUAACAACUUUCCAAUCUUAAAUUUUCCAUUCCAUCAAAAUGGUACAUAUUUCCUUAUAUUUAGGACUUUCAGAUUUUCUCUCAGAAAACACUUUGCUGUAGGGAUUGACAAUUAACAGCCCAUGGGCCAAGAUUGUGCCGCAGCCUGUUUUUGUAAAGCCAAUGAGCUGAGGAUGGUGUUAACAACUAUUAAAGUUUGUUAAAAAAAAAAAAAAAAGAAAGAAAAGGAAAAAGAAGAAAAAGAAAAAUGGAGAAUAUGCAACAAGACCAUAUGUAACCUGCAAAGUCUGUGUUAUUUAUUAUCUGGCCCUUUACAGAAAAAUUUGCCAACACCUCUUUUGUAGUUGUAGUGGUGUUAGACAACACUUGCUAAUCUAUUCCUAAAUUUCUUCUAUGCUAUCACAAAUGGUACCUUUUAAAUUUUAGUUUUCAAUUAUUCAUUGGUAGAAAAUACAACUGAUUUUUAUAUGUUAACCUUGUAUGCUGGAUUUUGUCAUUUUUGUAGUGAAGUGUUUAAGCACACUUUAUAUAAAGAUAUUUCUAACAAUCUAUUUUCAAGAUUCAUUCAGCAAGUGUUAUUUUAGUGAAUGGAAGUAAUACCCAUUCUGUAGAACUUGUAGUAAUUAUUUCUAGUAUUUUCUUUGUAGAUUCCUUAGGAUUUUCUAAACACACAAUCAUGUUUUCAACGAAUAAAGAUAGUUUUACUUCCUUUUUA